AUGUUAACGUUCCGAGAUGGCAAAUAUUCGGAGAUGACUAUGAAAACACCUCUCUGGAUCCUCGAAUUGAAAGAGAGAUUGAGAGGGAUCAAGAAUCCUAAUUCUCAACUAUCUUUCUAA
This 120-nucleotide ribosomal RNA is filed under the name Triticum aestivum (bread wheat). RNAcentral's name for it is "partial small subunit ribosomal RNA". The record is from RNAcentral. Lineage: Eukaryota; Viridiplantae; Streptophyta; Magnoliopsida; Poales; Poaceae.